Caenorhabditis elegans is the source of this 21-nucleotide non-coding RNA. NCBI's taxonomy places the organism in Eukaryota, Metazoa, Nematoda, Chromadorea, Rhabditida, Rhabditidae. The record is from Ensembl.
UGGUCCUGUUCUUAACUUAUC